AUAGAAACAACCCUUGAGGAAGAAAAUUGAAGAAAAAUUCAUCGGUUACUGAAAAAAAAAAGCGAUCUGAGGUAAGAUUUCGCGAUUUUAGCUUAAGAUUCACCUUUCCCAUGCUUUCUUUUUCAUUUUCUAUGGUUGAAACCCAAACUUUCAUGAAGGAAGUCAUGUUGGCUGAAUCAAGCGGGGGGGGGGGGGAGGUUUUGAUGAUGGUUUUUGUUAGAUUUCAUGCUAUCUAGGUGUUUGUGAUAUACGGUAUGAAAAACAAGCAAGAAAAUCACAUGUCCUUCAAUAAACCCUCAUUGGCCGAAUUUAAUAGGGGAUAUAUUGAUGAUGAAUUUUGUUAUAUUUCAUAUUAUUUAGCUCGUAUUUGAUGAUUUAUGGUGUCGAAUAUCAACAAUGGUUAUCAAAAAGUAUAGUGCCUUUAGUAAACGACUUGAACGACAACAAGAAAAUCAUGGUAAAUGGACUUGAAUUUGAUUUCUAAUGAUAUAUACAGACUUAUUAGACUGUGUUGACACUAAUUAGCACGUUAGUUCGGAAUCGGAAUGAGUUUUGGAUGUGAUCAUUUAAGUCACAAUCAAGUUCAUUGAGGUACUUUGGGUGUAUUUGGAGUACGAAAGUGCAAUGAAUCUAUUUGGAGUUGAAUCGGAUGUUUUGGCUAAUUAAACAGUGUAUAGUGCGAGUUAGGUUGAAUACCAUUUCAGUCCAAUAACAAUUGAACCUACGUAGAACACCAUCUUUAAGUGAUUAUUCGAACAUUUCUCAUUCAAUUUCAUGCAUUCAUAUAGAGCCUGGAAUAGUUUUAUAACAAUUUGGCACAAAUGUAUUGAAUUACUUGUUGUGUAUUAGAUAUAGGUGGUGAGCCCUCUAGUAAGGGUAAGGAUAUCAUACCCGAGGACCAGGAGUAGGAGUACUUCCGUUAUUGUGAGUAAUCAAACUAUCAUCUUAACUAUCUAAAGUAGUUUAUACUCGUUUUUAUGAUUUUAAACAAUAAUGAACUUAAAUUGUAAACUAUUAUGUUUUAUAGCUAAAGUGUUGGUUAAUUGAAAUGAGAUUCAUAAUUUGGUUUGAAAUUGAAUCCUGGUUUUGGAAAUUGAGUAAGUGGAGACUAUAUACUUGUGUUAUAUAUAUGUUUUGACUAUUGUUAGUUAUGCCGACCCUGCUUUGUAAUAAAUGUAUAGGCAUAACAGGAUUUGUAAUUGACAUAUGGUUUGAAUUUAUGGCUUAUGACAAUGUGAUGGCAUGAAUGGCUAGAUUUGUGUUUGUGUGGAAUAUAUGAACUAUUUUGUUUUACCUUGACAGACUGGGUAAUAUCAUAUUAGCCAUGUCAUACUGCCAAAAUUUUUAUUAAUUUGGUAGGGUAAUUGAUUAGCUUAUUGCAGUGGGCGGGUUUCCGUGGACCGCCCUAUUGAGGGGCACGAUAAAACCCGUCAUAUUUUACCUUAGUAUGAGAGGCGCGAAGGGUAUCUCCUAAGGUAGUUUAGAGUUCACUUCAUGCCGAACCACCAUGUGAGGGUGAAACUCAGCCAACGCCAAGGAACGACUGUGUUUUUAAACGUAAAAACAUGUUUUAUGUGUAUAUGUUAUUUUAACAGCCUUGACGGACUCGGUUGGAUGCCCUGCUCAAGGUGUCACCGAGUACAAGUUUUGGCACGAGCCAAGUUUUUAAAAGAGUCAUAAGC
Molecule: long non-coding RNA, 1682 nt
Filed under: Theobroma cacao (cacao)
Lineage: Eukaryota; Viridiplantae; Streptophyta; Magnoliopsida; Malvales; Malvaceae
Description: long non-coding RNA (TCAC_LNC001616)
Source: RNAcentral